CAUAAGCUCUCUUGCUCUCAUUUUCCACGGGUACACACACAAAUCAAAAAUUUCAGCUCACUUUGCUCUCUUUUUCUCUCAAGGAAAGAGCUAGGAAGCUCUCUUAGGUCCACUUAGUCAGGUCCAUGGGUCAACAAAUUAGAAGAGAGAUAAGGCUUCAUCAUCUUUCUUCUUUCUACUCUUUUAGAAGCAACUAGAAUAGUUAAGAGCUCUCUCCCUCUUUCAUUCCUGCGGUUCCAACACCAAAAGAAGGAAAAGCUCUCAAUUAUUUUCUCCCUUUCACACCUACAUGUCCAGCAGCAAGAAGGAAGCUUCUUCAACUCUCUUAAGCUCUCUACCUCUCAUACUUUCUGGUCCAGCCACUAGGAAAGGUAAAUCCUUUCAUGUGUUACCAGUAUCCAAGUCUAAGCUCCUUCGACUGUAGGCUCUCGGUUCCUUUGCUUUCAGGUAAGGGAUAAGUUAUAUGGGCAUUUGGUAAGUCAUGAGGUUAUUUUAAAGAAUAUUAUGCAUUAAAAUAUUUUUGAUUAGAGAUAUGGCAUGUAAUCAUUAUUCUGACAAAGAUGUGUUCGUGCAUUUUCGAAAUUCUAUGUAUAUGAUUUGAGCAUAUUGAUGCCAUUACUAAUUUCCACAAACAUGAAGUUUAAAGAAAAGAAUGAAAAUAUUAUUAUUAUGAAAUGUUAUGCAAAAUAAGAAAUUUUAGUAUGAUGUAAAGUAUGAAACGUUUUCGGGUUAUGUCUUCUGGUGAUCUGAACUCUGCUAGUAGGGGUUAAUUACUGGCUUUUCAUGGAAAAUGUUAUAUGAUUUGGCCAUUAAGUGGGACUGGCUCUUCUGUACCCGCCCCUUGUUGGUUACGGCCAACUUGUGGGGGAAGCCAACCUACCCCCAUGGUUGGAAGAUAUGUAUUAUGAUGUAAUCCUGGGAAUACCUGGCAUUGUGGGGAAUACUGGAUGCCUAGCACUGUGGUGCUAAAAGCCUCCCAAAUAAGUACAGACUUAUCAGAUAUGGGCUAACCAAUAAGUUAUUUAUGAACAGCUAUGUUAUGUUAUUAAUCAUGAGAGAAUUAUUUUGUUUAAAUGCAUUGUGAAAAGUGAAAACUCUCAUGGCAAGAAGAAGUUUCUAAUGAAAAGAAAAGCUGUUCAUUAAAGAUAAAAGUUUCCUAAGUUCUGAUAUGCUAUAAAGGUAAAGUUUCUAAUGAAA
This is a long non-coding RNA of Quercus lobata, 1197 nucleotides long. RefSeq lists it as uncharacterized. The record is from RefSeq and is a predicted model, not a curated record. The transcript has 2 exons. Lineage: Eukaryota; Viridiplantae; Streptophyta; Magnoliopsida; Fagales; Fagaceae.